This 470-nucleotide ribosomal RNA is filed under the name uncultured Thauera sp. RNAcentral's name for it is "bacterial SSU rRNA". It matches the Rfam family "Bacterial small subunit ribosomal RNA", at positions 916 to 1381 of the family's 1533-position model. The record is from RNAcentral. Lineage: Bacteria; Pseudomonadati; Pseudomonadota; Betaproteobacteria; Rhodocyclales; Zoogloeaceae.
AGACGGGACCCGCACAAGCGGUGGAUGAUGUGGAUUAAUUCGAUGCAACGCGAAAAACCUUACCUACCCUUGACAUGUCUGGAACCUUGGUGAGAGCCGAGGGUGCCUUCGGGAGCCAGAACACAGGUGCUGCAUGGCUGUCGUCAGCUCGUGUCGUGAGAUGUUGGGUUAAGUCCCGCAACGAGCGCAACCCUUGUCACUAGUUGCCAUCAUUUAGUUGGGCACUCUAGUGAGACUGCCGGUGUCAAACCGGAGGAAGGUGGGGAUGACGUCAAGUCCUCAUGGCCUUUAUGACCAGGGCUACACACGUACUACAAUGGCCGGUACAAAGGGCAGCGACACAGCGAUGUGAAGCCAAUCCCGAAAAGCCGGUCUCAGUCCGGAUUGGAGUCUGCAACUCGACUCCAUGAAGUUGGAAUCGCUAGUAAUCGCGGAUCAGCACGCCGCGGUCGAAUACGUUCCCGGGCCUU